RNAcentral lists this long non-coding RNA (594 nucleotides) under Hordeum vulgare. RNAcentral describes it as "long non-coding RNA (HVUL_LNC020247)". The record is from RNAcentral. Lineage: Eukaryota; Viridiplantae; Streptophyta; Magnoliopsida; Poales; Poaceae.
AAGUGAUAUGUAAUAUUGGAGAUUUGCUCAUCAGAAGGUAUAAGAGCACGUCAUCACUUAGUUGAUUGGAAAAGCCUACUUGCAAGUUUGAGUUACCGGUGUCUCGUAAAUGGCAGAGAAUGACAGGUCCGGCCUUCUUUUAGCCAGUUGACAUACCUGAAAGUUCUAAAUGUCAAAGAGCUGUACUCUGUCAAUGCCCAUCCACUGUUAUGAUGAAAAUAGAAGAUAUAGUUCUUAUUACCUGAAUAUGUUCUCAUCAAAAUCAAGUUGUUUUGCCUGGGACAUAUAUGAGGAUGCAGUCUGACUUCUGCAUGAAGUUUUCCUGCAUCAGCAUCACAUACAGGCAUUCAGAGCCUUGAGCAUGAAGGGAGCCUCACGUUAAACCAGUGCAGUUAAAUGAAGGUAAAUGAGCAUGUAUUUUCAGAAAUUACAGCCUCUUUACAGACUGCAAAUAUUACAUUGCCGUUAAUUUGAUGCAUUCACAGUUGACACCAUGCCAUCAUCUUUGAGAUUACGUGAGAUAGAAGGAUGUAACCUUUUAUGCACAUCGAGAAGCCAUGUGACAGGCGCUACCUGUGCACGGAGUUUCUCAAU